This is a long non-coding RNA of Anguilla anguilla (European eel), 1624 nucleotides long. RefSeq lists it as uncharacterized. The transcript is spliced from 2 exons. The record is from RefSeq and is a predicted model, not a curated record. Lineage: Eukaryota; Metazoa; Chordata; Actinopteri; Anguilliformes; Anguillidae.
ACACGGGCCAGGAUCUCCUCAUCGAGCGUAAGAGAGGCGAUGGCGGCCAGGAGCCAGCAGUCACCUGCACAGAUAUACACAUCUGGAGGAUUUGUGAAUGCCCUCACUCCAGGUCAUCAGAAACUUCUGUAAGUAUCUAAAACAUCCUUUGUUGCAUGCAAGAACUGCCCAGGUCAAUUGAAAACACUUAAAAUUAAAUAACAUCAAAAAGGGAUCUGUUUUACCACAGUAAUGCAUAGUUCCUCCAGCAGAGGGUGCUGUUAGACCUGAAACCAUUGACCUGGCAGUCACAGUGGCUAUGCUCUGGGUAAAUGGAUCACUGCUGCAGAUCCAAAUGUGGUGUAGAUGUUAUUGUAGAUUCCCAGAGCAGUCAGCCAAAACUGGCUGGAGGAGAGAGAAACUGCAGCAAAACCAGCUAUGGAUAGAAGACAGCUCAAACCUUAGCCUUAAAAUGAGGAACCUAAUGAAUUUUCUAUUGAGUCUGAAGUUUUAUGAAUAUAUACUUCAAUACCGAUAUACUAGAAGAAAAACUAGUUUAUGCCCUUAUAACUAAGUACAUGGCACCCAUCUGUUAAUAGAUUCACUGUCCAUUUGUUUCACUUGUGCUUUAGCCAUGGCUCAAUAAUGAAAGCAGGAUGUAGGAGGAGCAUUAGAGGUCAUUACUAGUUAAACGGCUCCACCACAACAUCCACCCACACACCGCCUCUGCAGUCAUCUUGCCAAGAUUUCAGACUGAUCUCCCAAAGCCUCCUCAGUUCAGCCACUCUUCCCAGCCCUCCAUCCAGAAUGCUCUCUGUCAAUGUUAGACACCUCAUUUUUCCACAGAGUCGUUUGAAAAUGGGAUUUGGCCAUUAUUGCUGGAACCAAUAAUCAUCUGGUGUGCCCUAACCGCAAAUUGUCAUUGCCAUUUUCAUUUUGCAAGAAUAGCACAUACCCAAGGGAGGACAUCUCAACUGUCACAUCCAUGUAUGUUCUGUUUGGGUGACUGACAGAUGUUUAUACUCGGCACAGUGAUGCAGGAUACAGGUGUGUCACACCCCCUUCUCUUUGUUAAAAAUGAUCUUUUCUUUUGGGACUACUGCAAAACAAAAGACUGCCAGCAUGUCAUACCACUCCUGGUAGGUGGUUCCCUGAGUAAACAUUACCGGUGGUUCUGUUUGCAUGUUAUGUAUUUGCAUAUCAUUCGAACUUGUGUUUAACUUACAGAUCAACAGUGUUGGAGAUAAGUACUGUUGGACAACGAAGUGUGACAACUUUAAUAUCUCAUGAACUUGGGAAAGUAAGACUAAGAUUUCUUUUUUGAAUCAAACUUCAGCUAAAAUGAUUUCUGAAAUGGGUUUUCAAGUGGCUCAGUCCAUAAAUGUGUUUUUAAAGCUAUAGUUGAACUCUAUACUCUAGGAGUCUGAACUGUAUGAUUUCCAGACCUGGGUCCAGUAAUUAUGGUGGAGGGAACUAUUACUAUUACUAUUGCUGGUCUGAGGACCCAUCAAAAUAUUUAGCCGUCUGACCUGAACAUCCAGACCAGAUGAUGUCCGUUUUUUUCAGAAGUUAAAAAAAAUGGGCACGUUUUCACGUCACUUUUUUUUUUAAGCUUAAUUAAAAUGCUGCAUCAGCUCACCCAGCA